Molecule: ribosomal RNA, 496 nt
Filed under: uncultured bacterium
Lineage: Bacteria
Description: partial 16S ribosomal RNA
Rfam family: Bacterial small subunit ribosomal RNA
Source: RNAcentral
AUGCACGCUGGCGGCGUGCCUAAUACAUGCAAGUCGAGCGAACGGACGAGAAGCUUGCUUCUCUGAUGUUAGCGGCGGACGGGUGAGUAACACGUGGAUAACCUACCUAUAAGACUGGGAUAACUUCGGGAAACCGGAGCUAAUACCGGAUAAUAUUUUGAACCGCAUGGUUCAAAAGUGAAGGACGGUCUUGCUGUCACUUAUAGAUGGAUCCGCGCUGCAUUAGCUAGUUGGUAAGGUAACGGCUUACCAAGGCAACGAUGCAUAGCCGACCUGAGAGGGUGAUCGGCCACACUGGAACUGAGACACGGUCCAGACUCCUACGGGAGGCAGCAGUAGGGAAUCUUCCGCAAUGGGCGAAAGCCUGACGGAGCAACGCCGCGUGAGUGAUGAAGGUCUUCGGAUCGUAAAACUCUGUUAUUAGGGAAGAACAUAUGUGUAAGUAACUGUGCACAUCUUGACGGUACCUAAUCAGAAAGCCACGGCUAACUACGUG